UACGUAGGGGGCUAGCGUUGCUCGGAAUUACUGGGCGUAAAGGGCGCGUAGGCGGACAUUUAGGUCAGAGGUGAAAUCCCGGAGCUUAACUUCGGAACUGCCUUUGAUACUGGGUGUCUUGAGUGUGAGAGAGGUAUGUGGAACUCCGAGUGUAGAGGUGAAAUUCGUAGAUAUUCGGAAGAGCACCAGUGGCGAAGGCGACAUACUGGCUCAGUACUGACGCUGAGGCUCGAAAGCGUGGGGAGCAAACAGG
RNAcentral lists this ribosomal RNA (253 nucleotides) under uncultured bacterium. RNAcentral's name for it is "partial 16S ribosomal RNA". It matches the Rfam family "Bacterial small subunit ribosomal RNA", at positions 524 to 776 of the family's 1533-position model. The record is from RNAcentral.